This 350-nucleotide unclassified non-coding RNA is filed under the name soil metagenome. RNAcentral's name for it is "partial contains 5.8S ribosomal RNA, internal transcribed spacer 2, and large subunit ribosomal RNA". The stretch from base 1 to 120 matches the Rfam family "5.8S ribosomal RNA", at positions 35 to 154 of the family's 154-position model. The record is from RNAcentral.
GAUGAAGAACGCAGCGAACUGCGAUAAGUAAUGUGAAUUGCAGAACUCAGUGAAUCAUCGAGUCUUUGAACGCACAUUGCGCCCCCUGGCAUUCCGGGGGGCAUGCCUGUCCGAGCGUCAUUGCUGCCCUUCAAGCCCGGCUUGUGUGUUGGGUCGUCGUCCCCCCCGGGGGACGGGCCCGAAAGGCAGCGGCGGCACCGCGUCCGGUCCUCGAGCGUAUGGGGCUUUGUCACCCGCUCGAUUAGGGCCGGCCGGGCGCCAGCCGGCGUCUCCAACCUUCUAUUUUACCAGGUUGACCUCGGAUCAGGUAGGGAUACCCGCUGAACUUAAGCAUAUCAAUAAGCGGAGGA